GGUUGCAUAGUGUAGCGGUGAGCACAUCUGCUUUACAUGCAGAAGGUCCUGGGUCUGCGCCCCUGUGGAGCCA
RNAcentral lists this transfer RNA (73 nucleotides) under Pteropus alecto (black flying fox). It matches the Rfam family "tRNA". Rfam says of the family: Transfer RNA (tRNA) molecules are approximately 80 nucleotides in length. Their secondary structure includes four short double-helical elements and three loops (D, anti-codon, and T loops). Lineage: Eukaryota; Metazoa; Chordata; Mammalia; Chiroptera; Pteropodidae. The record is from Rfam by way of RNAcentral.